This 253-nucleotide ribosomal RNA is filed under the name uncultured bacterium. Its description in RNAcentral is "partial 16S ribosomal RNA". It matches the Rfam family "Bacterial small subunit ribosomal RNA", at positions 524 to 776 of the family's 1533-position model. The record is from RNAcentral.
UACAGAGGCCACGAGCGUUAGGCGGAAUCACUGGGCUUAAAGCGUGUGUAGGUGGAUGGGUAAGUACCUUGUGAAAUCCCACGGCUCAACCGUGGAACUGCUUGGUAUACUGCCUGUCUUGAGGCACUCAGGGGCGAGCGGAACAAAUGGUGGAGCGGUGAAAUGCGUAGAUAUCAUUUGGAACGCCAAUGGUGAAGACAGCUCGCUGGGGGUGUACUGACACUGAGACACGAAAGCCAGGGGAGCAAACGGG